RNAcentral lists this ribosomal RNA (468 nucleotides) under uncultured bacterium. RNAcentral's name for it is "partial 16S ribosomal RNA". It matches the Rfam family "Bacterial small subunit ribosomal RNA", at positions 28 to 507 of the family's 1533-position model. The record is from RNAcentral.
GACGAACGCUGGCGGCGUGCUUAACACAUGCAAGUCGAACGGAAAGGCCCUGCUUUUGUGGGGUGCUCGAGUGGCGAACGGGUGAGUAACACGUGAGUAACCUGCCCUUGACUUUGGGAUAACUUCAGGAAACUGGGGCUAAUACCGGAUAGGAGCUCCUGCUGCAUGGUGGGGGUUGGAAAGUUUCGGCGGUUGGGGAUGGACUCGCGGCUUAUCAGCUUGUUGGUGGGGUAGUGGCUUACCAAGGCUUUGACGGGUAGCCGGCCUGAGAGGGUGACCGGCCACAUUGGGACUGAGAUACGGCCCAGACUCCUACGGGAGGCAGCAGUGGGGAAUAUUACACAAUGGGCGGAAGCCUGAUGCAGCAACGCCGCGUGCGGGAUGACGGCCUUCGGGUUGUAAACCGCUUUCGCCUGUGACGAAGCGUGAGUGACGGUAACGGGUAAAGAAGCACCGGCUAACUACGUG